Molecule: RNA transcript, 5159 nt
Organism: Canis lupus familiaris (dog)
Lineage: Eukaryota; Metazoa; Chordata; Mammalia; Carnivora; Canidae
Gene: SFI1
Gene name: SFI1 centrin binding protein
Exons: 31
Source: RefSeq, a predicted model, not a curated record
AGAGGCUCACGCGGGAGCCUGGAGGUGGGGGGGAGGACGUCCGUCAGCGUGGGCCUCCAGACGGGAACCUCAUCCCUAGACCUUGACGCGCGAGGCGUAGCUCGGAGACACUAUUCUAUAAAGCUCCUGCUCUUGUCGAAGAGGAAGCUGAGCUCUGAGAGGAGCGAGUGGGCCAGGGAGGCCGAGAGCCCACCUUGAGGCCGCUCAGACGGUGCAUCCAUCUACGCUCUUUGGGGGCAACUUGGCUCUGCAGCUGCCUCUCAGCAGUCAGAGGGAGGCGUGUCGCCUACUCGACGGAGGCUGCGCGAACUGCGAGUCCCUGGAGGGGCGUUUCACACGCACGCCGCGUCGCCGUGGAGACGGGGGGCGGAGCCGGCGCGAGACUGUGUGCGGGGGAGGCGCGGGAAGCGCUGAGGCGGCCGGGGCCUUAGGGCGGGAGGAACCGGGGCCGCGUCUGCCGGCUCCCGCAGGGACUUCCUGAGGCGCGAGGCCCGAGUGCUCGACUAGUCAGAAGGGGAAGAUAAAAAACUUUUUGAUUCAUGAAGAAUCUGCUUACUAAGAAGUAUAUAUCAAGCCACUGGCCUAAUUUCCAUCAAAAAAGAAGGAAGCUGAGAAUGCAGAGAAAGGUGGACUCCAGGUCUUUUAGGGGUGGUGCAGUUAAGAAACCUUAUCCUCCAAAGAUAUUGGCCAACCAGAAGUCUUCUACCCUCUUGGGGAUCCGGAGUGAGAUACCUAGUGCCAGUCAUCCAGUGCAGUGUCAUGCCUCGCAUGGUUGGACCCGAAAGAACCGGUUACGAGAAUUGCGUAUCAGAUGCGUGGCCAGAAAGUUCUUAUAUUUGUGGAUUCGAAUGACUUUUGGAAGAGUAUUUCCCUCUAAAGCCAGAAACGACAGAAGAGACCCUCCUGAGUUCCCUCCAUCACAUCCACCCACUGCCAACAUCUAUCACCAUGCAACCUGCUUUCCCACCAUGAGAUUUUACUAUAAGCAAAGAAUACUACGGAAAGUCUUUGAAGAAUGGAAAGAAGAGUGGUGGGUUUUCCAGCGAGAGUGGAAACUCUGUGUUCGAGCCGACUGUCACUACAGAUAUUACUUGUACAACCUGAUGUUCCAGACUUGGAGGACCUAUGUGUAUCAGCAGCAGGAGAUGAGGAACAAGUACAUUAGAGCUGAGAAUCAUGAUGCAAAGCAAAAGAUGCGGCAGGCCUGGAAGUCCUGGCUGAUCUACGUGGUUUUUCGUAGAACCAAACUUCAGAUGCAGACCACCGCCCUGGAGUUUAGGCAGCAGAGUAUUUUAUGGCUCUGGUGGAGGCGGUGGAGGCAACAACUGGGACAGGUCUGUGUGGGCCGUGCCCUGCAUGCGUCAGCCGUGAAGCACAGGGCCCUGAGCCUCCAGCAGCAGGCUUGGUCACAGUGGUGGGAACAGCUCCUGCAUGUCCAGAGGGAAAGACAGAAGAUGGUCUCUGCAGUGAAACACCAUCAGCACUGGCAAAAGUGGAAAUCCCUGAAGGCCUGGCUCAAAUAUGUGCAGGUCCGCAGAGUGAAGAGGCAGCUGAACGAGAUGGCUGAGCGAUUCCAUCGGGUCACUGUGCUCCAGACACACUUCUGUGAUUGGCAGUGGGCCUGGGAACGGAAGGAGAGAUUGUCUGCCCAGCAGGCCCGGGUGGAGGGGCUAGCCAGGAGGAUGACUCUGCGGCGGGCCUUUACUCACUGGAAACACUAUGUGCUGCUGUGUGCCGAAGAAGCGGCCCAGUGGAAGGUGGCAGAAGAUCACAGUAGGUGCAGCUUGUUGCAUUUCUGUUUUCGAGCCCUAAAAGAAAAUGUGACCCAUGCUCAUCUCCAGCAAAUAAGAAGGAAUCUCGCUCACCAGCAACGUGACAUCACGCUACUACACAGGUUCUGGAACCUCUGGCAGUCUCGGAUUGAGCAGAGGGAAGAGAGAGAGCAGCUUCCCUCACUGUGUGCUGCCUGGGCCCACUGCAGAAUGACAUUGCUACGCAAGUGUAUCAAAUCAUGGUUACAGUAUACUCAGAAGAGGCGGUACAAGCAGCGGCUGCGGUCCAGAGCAGACAGUCACUUCCAACAGAGAGCCCUGCCUGCGGCCUUCAACACAUGGAGAAGAUUCUGGCGAUGGCACCAGCAGGAAAGUGUUCUCAAUGCAAGAGCAGCACGCUUUCACAGGGAGACGUUGGAGAAGCAAGUAUUUGCUAUUUGGUGGCAGAAGAUGUUUCAGCAUCGAGAAAACCGCUUGGCAGAGAGAAUGGCCAUCCUUCAUUCAGAGCGUCAGCUUCUGCAAAGGUCCUGGUCCAUGUGGCAUCAGCAGGCAGCAGCACGUCACCGGGAAUGGCAGCGGCAAGCAGUGGCCUGUGCCCACCACCGCCACAGACAGCUCAGGAAGGCUUUCUGCAUCUGGAGGGAGACUGCCCGAGGGCUCAGAACUGAGAAGAUGGGCCUAGUGCUGGCUGCAGAGUUCCAAGCGGCCCGGCUCCUGCACUGGGCCUGGAGCCGGUGGAGGGAGUGCCUGGCCCUGCACGCUGCUGAGCAGCGGAAGCUGAUGCGCGCCAGCCUGCACCACCAGCAGGCCUUGCUGCAUGGGACACUGCAGACCUGGGCGACUUACCAGAGCCAGGUGCGGAGCAUCCUCCAGGAGGUGGCAGCCAGGGAGAGCCAGCACAAGAGGCGGCUGCUGCGGAGUGUGUUCCGUCGCUGGAGAGAGAACACCCUGGCCCGAGUGAAUGAAGCAAAGCAAACCUCCCGAGCAAGCACUCACUAUAGGCGAACCUUGUGUUCCAAGAUCUUGGUGCAGUGGCAGGAGGCUGCAUCAGUGCAGAUAUAUUACCGACAGCAGGAGGACUGUGCCAUCAAGGAGGCCCAGAAGGUGCUGGAGAGGGGCUGUCUCAGGAUGUGGUUUCGGCGCUGGCGGGACCAAGGCCAGAGGGCGGCCCAGCAGAGAGUCCAGCUUAGGCGGGCAGCUGGGCAUCACGGCCGGCGGCUGCUGCUGCAGACCAUGGCCCGGUGGAAGGCGCACCAUCUCGGCUGUGUCAGGAAGCGGCUCCUACAGAGGCAGGGCGCCCAGCUCCUGGCCCAGACUCGCAGCCGGGCCUGCUUCCACCAAUGGAAACAACAGCUGGCAAACAGGAGGCGGGAGCAGCAGGGCACAGCACGGGCCCUGUGGUUCUGGUCCUUCUCACUACAGGCAAAGGUGUGGGCCGCGUGGCUGGGCUUUGUGCUGGAAAGGCGGAGGAAGAAGGUGCGGCUGGAGCGGGCCGGGCAGGCCUACCACCAGCAGCUCCUCCGGGAGGGUGCCACUCGCCUCUUGCGGUUCGCAGGCAGCAUGAAGGCCUUCAGGCAGCAGCUGCACGCCCAGCAGCAGGAGCAGGCGGCUCACAGUCUCCACCGUGCAGUCCAUCGCUGUGCCAUGCUCUGGAAACAGAAGGUUCUGGGCCAGGGCAAGGAGCCUCGGCCCCUACCCACCAUGCCCCGCAGGAGAGUGACAUUUGACAGUCCCCUUCCCACCUGUGUUGCUGCUGGGGCUGGGGAUGCCACCCUGGAGACCAGAAGGCCAGGAGAUCCUCAUGUGCCCUGGGGGGCUCUGGGCAGCCUGUCCCUGGCUGCCGGGGACCCCCAACUUCUAGAGCUAAAUGCUACCCGCUUGGCAAGAAAGCAGCCUCGACGUCCACAUUUCCUGCUGGAGCCUGUGCAGAGCCAGAGGCCCCAGGGGUGUGGCAGCCUCAGGGGAAAAGGGUCUGAGGCACCUCAGGAGUGUGACCGAGGCCUGGUCUGGCCAGCAGGCCCUUCCCUGAUGAGGCCUUUCCCACCAGAGGCCUGGAUGGCACUGGUCCCAAGCAGCCCUUCACCCCAGCCCAGGGCCCUGCUGGGUCGCCCUGGCCUGAAGCUGCCCCCCACAUUGAAGACAGGCCCAGAGCUGCUGCCCCCUUCAUCCUUCAUGCCGUGUGGAGUGGAAGCACCUGCCAGGGUGAGUCCUCCCGGUCACCUGGGGGUCAUUCUUUGGUUGGGCCUUCGGUGCUUUUCCUCAGGUACUCGGUGCUGCUGCCACAGCUGAACUCAUUGCUGCCAGAGCUACCCGCGCCAGAGGGCGCAGGGAAGGCACCCACGUUCACCACAUGCAGGUGCCCCCAUCCUAGAGACACGGUAUGGAAAGGCUGCCCAGGCCCCCACUUGGGAAGCUUCUAUCCUAGAGGUGGAGCCCCAGACACUGCAGACCGUGGAGGGUCCUGCGGGCCCUGGGGAAGCAUCUGGAUUUUAAGAAAAGUAGGAAAUGGUGGGGGCUGGUUUGGCCUGCUCUGCCCCCAUGGCCCAGCAGGUGCUGGGAGCCAGGAGUAGGUGGUGGCUGUGGUGCGGGCAGAUCCCAUCGUGGGAGGCAGAAUAGGCAGGACCUGCUCCGAUGGGUCUGAUAAGGGUGAGGAAGGAAUCCAGGAUGGCUCCUGGGUAUCUGGCCUGAGUAACUCCAGGAAUAAUGAGUUCUUUUACUGAAAGAGGGAAGACGGGGGGUGGGGGCUCAAGGGCUUGUUUGGGGUAAAGCCUGGAGAGUCUGUCUUGAGCCUGUCAAAUUUGAGAUCAAGUACCAAGGUUCUGAGUGUGGCCUUCAGAGAGCAAGUCAGGGCUUGAGAGCAAGAGAGUCUGCAAUGUACAUUGAAGGUUAACUCCUGGGAACCAAAGAGGUCACCUGGGAGGAAAGGGGCGGUGGCUCCCUGGGGCAGGUGACAUCCAGGUGGAGGAGUCCAGGCUGGGAUGGCACGGUGGUAUGGGAGGCCCACGUGCUCAGAGAGAAGACAGCGGCAGGGUUGGGCCAUGCCAAGAGCUGGUGCUGAGGGGAGCUGGUCAGUGUCACUGGAAGGUACUGGAGGGUUGUAGAUGUGUGGUCUGACCAGGACGAUUGCCUUUGACCACCUUUCCUCACUGAUGUGCAGGGUCACGGUUCAGAUCAGGGUCAGGGUAAAACUGCUGCUUGGAGAGGUGCUGAGCCAGGCCCUGGAGCAGGGGUGGGACUAGACUGCACAGGCCUCUGCACAGCCCACCACUCCUGGGCUCACACUUCAGGCCUCGCCAUCCCCAGCCAGUGUCCCUCAGUCCCGCCUGCUGCUUCCUGGGGACUUCAUGGGCACUGGGCGCAGCUCUGGAACCAUGGGUGUGCACCCAA